RNAcentral lists this ribosomal RNA (468 nucleotides) under uncultured bacterium. RNAcentral's name for it is "partial 16S ribosomal RNA". It matches the Rfam family "Bacterial small subunit ribosomal RNA", at positions 28 to 507 of the family's 1533-position model. The record is from RNAcentral.
GACGAACGCUGGCGGCGUGCUUAACACAUGCAAGUCGAACGGAAAGGCCCUGCUUUUGUGGGGUGCUCGAGUGGCGAACGGGUGAGUAACACGUGAGUAACCUGCCCUUGACUUUGGGAUAACUUCAGGAAACUGGGGCUAAUACCGGAUAGGAGCUCCUGCUGCAUGGUGGGGGUUGGAAAGUUUCGGCGGUUGGGGAUGGACUCGCGGCUUAUCAGCUUGUUGGGGGGGUAGUGGCUUACCAAGGGUUUGACGGGUAGCCGGCCUGAGAGGGUGACCGGCCACAUUGGGACUGAGAUACGGCCCAGACUCCUACGGGAGGCAGAAGUGGGGAAUAUUGCACAAUGGGCGGAAGCCUGAUGCAGAAACGCCGCGUGCGGGAUGACGGCCUUCGGGUUGUAAACCGCUUUCGCCUGUGACGAAGCGUGAGUGACGGUAAUGGGUAAAGAAGCACCGGCUAACUACGUG